AGAACGAACGCUGGCGGCAUGCCUAAUACAUGCAAGUCGAACGAACACUUCGGUGUUAGUGGCGCACGGGUGCGUAACGCGUGGGAAUCUGCCCUUGGGUUCGGAAUAACAGUUGGAAACGACUGCUAACACCGGAUGAUGACGAAAGUCCAAAGAUUUAUCGCCCAGGGAUGAGCCCGCGUAGGAUUAGCUAGUUGGUGAGGUAAAGGCUCACCAAGGCGACGAUCCUUAGCUGGUCUGAGAGGAUGAUCAGCCACACUGGGACUGAGACACGGCCCAGACUCCUACGGGGGGCAGCAGUAGGGAAUAUUGGACAAUGGGCGCAAGCCUGAUCCAGCAAUGCCGCGUGAGUGAUGAAGGCCUUAGGUUGUAAAGCUCUUUACCCGAGAUGAUAAUGACAGUAUCGGAGAAUAAGCCCCGCUAACUCCGUGCCAGCAGCCGC
Molecule: ribosomal RNA, 442 nt
Filed under: uncultured soil bacterium
Lineage: Bacteria
Description: bacterial SSU rRNA
Rfam family: Bacterial small subunit ribosomal RNA
Source: RNAcentral